CCCUUAGAUGUCCGGGGCUGCACGCGCGCUACACUGAACAGUUCAACAAGUCUUAACCUUGGCCGAUAGGUCUGGGUAAUCUUUGAACGCUGUUCGUGAUUGGGAUAGACCUUUGCAAUUAUGGGUCUUCAACGAGGAAUUCCUAGUAAACGCAAGUCAUCAGCUUGCAUUGAUUACGUCCCUGCCCUUUGUACACACCGCCCGUCGCACCUACCGAUUGAAUGGUCCGGUGAAAUCUCGGGACGGCGGCUUGGUCGCUUGCGUCCGACUGCUGAAACUUGAUUAAACCAUAUCAUUUAGAGGAAGGUGAANUCGUAACA
Molecule: ribosomal RNA, 320 nt
Filed under: uncultured eukaryote
Lineage: Eukaryota
Description: partial 18S ribosomal RNA
Rfam family: Eukaryotic small subunit ribosomal RNA
Source: RNAcentral